GAUGAACGCUAGCGGCAGGCUUAACACAUGCAAGUCGAGGGGCAGCGCGAUGUAGCAAUACAUUGGCGGCGACCGGCGCACGGGUGCGUAACACGUAUGGAACUUACCCUUUACUGGGAGAUAGCCCGGAGAAAUCCGGAUUAAUAUCCCAUAAUAAACGAAGUGGCAUCACUUUGUUUUGAAAGCUCCGGCGGUAAAGGAUGGCCAUGCGCACGAUUAGCUAGUAGGUGAGGUAACGGCUCACCUAGGCUACGAUCGUUAGGGGGCCUGAGAGGGUUAUCCCCCACACUGGUACUGAGACACGGACCAGACUCCUACGGGAGGCAGCAGUGAGGAAUAUUGCGCAAUGGAGGCAACUCUGACGCAGCCAUGCCGCGUGCAGGAAGAAGGCGCUACGCGUUGUAAACUGCUUUUAACCGGGAAGAAACCCUCCGACGUGUCGGAGGUUGACGGUACCGGAGGAAUAAGCACCGGCUAACUUCGUGCCAGCAGCCGCGGU
This 499-nucleotide ribosomal RNA is filed under the name uncultured bacterium. RNAcentral describes it as "bacterial SSU rRNA". It matches the Rfam family "Bacterial small subunit ribosomal RNA", at positions 28 to 521 of the family's 1533-position model. The record is from RNAcentral.